Cyprinus carpio carpio is the source of this 1270-nucleotide long non-coding RNA. NCBI's taxonomy places the organism in Eukaryota, Metazoa, Chordata, Actinopteri, Cypriniformes, Cyprinidae. The record is from Ensembl.
GAUGCCUCUGUCUAAUAAAGAGAGGCAGAGACUGUUCAGAGCCAGGAUAAACACAGAUGCAGACGCUAGCGCUGAGUAUCUUGCAAAAAAGAGAGCAAGCUACUACAAAUCAAGCCCAGUUCCCAAAAAGCCUGUUGUACAGCAGAUGACCCCUUCUGCUGCAAAGAAGAAAAGGGAGCAGUGGAGGGUAAACCAGAGGAACUGGAGGGAAAGAUUAAAGCAGAUCAAUGAAUUAAUGAACGACACUCCUGUCUCAAUGAAUGAGUCUAAUCUUGAAGAACCCCAACCCAGAGAGCCAGAUGACCCUCAAGAGAAUCUCCAGCCACUUGCUUCUUCUUCCCCAGAAAGAAAUGGCAAUGUGCGAACAAAAAAUGCAAACAAAAAUAAACUAAAGAAUGAAAUAGUCAAACUUAAAAGGCAACUUGCUCUGUCAAACAAAAAAAAUGAGAAACUAAGAAAACGUCUGCAAAGGGUUAACAAAACAAAAGUAGUGCACGUCAAUGAGAAACGGAAGUCACGGGGAGCCAAGAAGUUUGCUGCAAGAAAGUUCAAAGAAGAGUCCUACAAAAACCAAUGAAAGAGUUACAUUUACAAUACAAUAAAGAAACCCAAAAGGAACUCACACUGUCAUACAGACAGUUUGUGUGCUUACCUCCCUUCUACAUAACAGAACCUAAAACAAGUGAUCGCAACACAUGCGCCUGUCUUGACCACGAAAACGUCCAGAUGCUUGUGGAGAAACUAUUUCAAAGUGGCUUUGUAAAAGUGGCAAGGAUUUCAGAGUUGUUGGCAUCCAUCGUGUGUGAUCCUCUAGGAAAGGAUUGUAUGUAUCGUGCCUGUGUUAAGUGCUGUUACAAAGAAGUGGAAAUAAAAUCCUCAAGAACAGAACAACACCACCACAUGGCUACAGUGGGAAAGUGUCAAGUUACCCAGUAUAGAAAUAAGCGCAACUUCUAUCUCCUGACCACACUACCGUUUAUUUUGGGGUUCAAGGAGGUGACCUGGAAUUUCUCUGAGAAAGCCCAUGGUAAGGGUGCACCAGAUGGCGUGGGUGGCGCUGUAAAGCGGACAGCUGAUCAGAGGGUGAAAAUGGGUGCUGAUAUUCAGACACCAAAAGAGCUCUAUGAAGCUUUACAGAGCACAGCCUCUGCAAUCAAGUACGUUUGGGUGUCAGCAGAGGACAUCCUAAAACAUGAUGAAGCUGUACCGGAGAAGCUGCCUGUUGUGAAGGGCAAAAUGAAGAUUCACCAGAUUGUGUCUCUUACCCCUG